RNAcentral lists this long non-coding RNA (204 nucleotides) under Ricinus communis (castor bean). Its description in RNAcentral is "long non-coding RNA (RCOM_LNC001032)". Lineage: Eukaryota; Viridiplantae; Streptophyta; Magnoliopsida; Malpighiales; Euphorbiaceae. The record is from RNAcentral.
UUAAAUGAGACUCCUUAGAGUUUGCUUGGGAUCUACCAUACGUGCAUAUGCUAGCUCAUAUGUCUGGUCUACUAGUUAUCAGAUAUAGUAGGGAUCUGAUCAUUCCUCUAUUCAGUUUGAUGUCAAUUGAUUUUUUAGCCUUGUCUUUCUUGAGUUUAGUUGUCUGGCUAAUUAGAUCUACAAUGCUCUUUAAACUAUCAAACU